AUUGAACGCUGGCGGCAUGCCUUACACAUGCAAGUCGAACGGUAACGGGUCCUUCGGGAUGCCGACGAGUGGCGAACGGGUGAGUAAUAUAUCGGAACGUGCCCAGUAGUGGGGGAUAACUGCUCGAAAGAGCAGCUAAUACCGCAUACGACCUGAGGGUGAAAGGGGGGGAUCGCAAGACCUCUCGCUAUUGGAGCGGCCGAUAUCAGAUUAGCUAGUUGGUGGGGUAAAGGCCUACCAAGGCAACGAUCUGUAGUUGGUCUGAGAGGACGACCAGCCACACUGGGACUGAGACACGGCCCAGACUCCUACGGGAGGCAGCAGUGGGGAAUUUUGGACAAUGGGCGCAAGCCUGAUCCAGCAAUGCCGCGUGCAGGAAGAAGGCCUUCGGGUUGUAAACUGCUUUUGUCAGGGGAGAAAUCUUCUGGGCUAAUACCCCGGGAGGAUGACGGUACCUGAAGAAUAAGCACCGGCUAACUACGUGCCAGCAGCCGCGGUAAUACGUAGGGUGCGAGCGUUAAUCGGAAUUACUGGGCGUAAAGCGUGCGCAGGCGGCUUUGCAAGACAGAUGUGAAAUCCCCGGGCUCAACCUGGGAACUGCAUUUGUGACUGCAAGGCUAGAGUACGGCAGAGGGGGAUGGAAUUCCGCGUGUAGCAGUGAAAUGCGUAGAUAUGCGGAGGAACACCAAUGGCGAAGGCAAUCCCCUGGGCCUGUACUGACGCUCAUGCACGAAAGCGUGGGGAGCAAACAGGAUUAGAUACCCUGGUAGUCCACGCCCUAAACGAUGUCAACUGGUUGUUGGACGGCUUGCUGUUCAGUAACGAAGCUAACGCGUGAAGUUGACCGCCUGGGGAGUACGGCCGCAAGGUUGAAACUCAGAGGAAUUGACGGGGACCCGCACAAACGGUGGAUGAUGUGGUUUAAUUCGAUGCAACGCGAAAAACCUUACCUACCCUUGACAUGUCAAGAAUUCUGCAGAGAUGUGGAAGUGCUCGAAAGAGAACUUGAACACAGGUGCUGCAUGGCCGUCGUCAGCUCGUGUCGUGAGAUGUUGGGUUAAGUCCCGCAACGAGCGCAACCCUUGUCAUUAGUUGCUACGCAAGAGCACUCUAAUGAGACUGCCGGUGACAAACCGGAGGAAGGUGGGGAUGACGUCAGGUCCUCAUGGCCCUUAUGGGUAGGGCUACACACGUCAUACAAUGGCCGGUACAGAGGGCUGCCAACCCGCGAGGGGGAGCCAAUCCCAGAAAACCGGUCGUAGUCCGGAUCGUAGUCUGCAACUCGACUGCGUGAAGUCGGAAUCGCUAGUAAUCGCGGAUCAGCUUGCCGCGGUGAAUACGUUCCCGGGUCU
Molecule: ribosomal RNA, 1352 nt
Filed under: uncultured bacterium
Lineage: Bacteria
Description: bacterial SSU rRNA
Rfam family: Bacterial small subunit ribosomal RNA
Source: RNAcentral